This 358-nucleotide RNase P RNA is filed under the name Oscillospiraceae bacterium. RNAcentral describes it as "RNase P RNA component class A". It matches the Rfam family "Bacterial RNase P class A". Rfam says of the family: Ribonuclease P (RNase P) is a ubiquitous endoribonuclease, found in archaea, bacteria and eukarya as well as chloroplasts and mitochondria. Its best characterised activity is the generation of mature 5'-ends of tRNAs by cleaving the 5'-leader elements of precursor-tRNAs. Lineage: Bacteria; Bacillati; Bacillota; Clostridia; Eubacteriales; Oscillospiraceae. The record is from RNAcentral.
CGACCGGGUCGGACAGUCGCGUGAACAGUGCCGAAAGGCCGUUCAUGAGGAAAGUCCGGGCUCCACAGGGCAAGGAUAACGGGUAACGCCCGCCCAAGGCGACUUGCGGAAAAGUGCAACAGAGAUAUACCGCCUUUUCGGUGCUUGCACCGACGAGGUAAGGGUGGAAAGGCGAGGUAAGAGCUCACCCAUCCCAUGGAGACAUGGCGAUGCUGUAAACUCUAUCCGGAGCAACACCGCAGAGGGAACAUUAGGUUGGCCCGACCGUUCCCGUAAGGUGGCUUGAACCCACGGGCAACCGUGGGUCUAGAUAGAUGACUGUCGAUUACAGAACCCGGCUUAUAGACCCGAUCGCACC